GAAGACAUUAUUGGACUGUUUUAUUGUUGAAUAUUUUUUUAAAAUCCACUAGUCUUUCAUAAUCUUUUAUCUCUGUCAUUUAUCAGCCUCUAGGCAGCAAGCCCAGCAGAAGCUUCGGGGUGGAAAGUGCAUGAAUGGAGGUCUUGGAACCACGUUUAGCAUGGACUCGAGUGUAAAUCCCAGCGCCCGCCUCUCCCAGUCAUUCAGCCUCUCAACCCCUCAGAAACAGAGGCUGUUUCAAGAAUUCUAUAUGCAUUAUAUUUAUUCAGCGACUGGCAAUCUGGUGUCCCACCUAGUGGUCAGCAGGGGAUAGCCCAUUUCAAAAAGAGAUGAGAAGACAAUUCACAUUAUCUUCUGCUGGGUGGAAGCCUGAAGGACAGUUUGUGCUCAUCCUUUUCUCCCCAUUUACAGGGACUCAGGACAUGUAAAGCACAAGACAUGAGGAAUGGCAGUAUGUUUGCAUAUGCUGUUGCAGUGGUGGGAUAGAGAUUGAGAAGAGAAGUUCUGCUUGAGAGAGAGUCAUCAGAUUAGGAGGCAUAUGG
This 542-nucleotide long non-coding RNA is filed under the name Canis lupus familiaris (dog). RNAcentral's name for it is "lncRNA (ENSCAFG00000053248.1, ENSCAFG00845028902.1)". The record is from RNAcentral. Lineage: Eukaryota; Metazoa; Chordata; Mammalia; Carnivora; Canidae.